RNAcentral lists this ribosomal RNA (448 nucleotides) under uncultured bacterium. RNAcentral's name for it is "bacterial SSU rRNA". It matches the Rfam family "Bacterial small subunit ribosomal RNA", at positions 329 to 794 of the family's 1533-position model. The record is from RNAcentral.
GUCCAGACUCCUACGGGAGGCAGCAGUGGGGAAUAUUGCACAAUGGGGGAAACCCUGAUGCAGCGACGCCGCGUGAGCGAUGAAGUAUUUCGGUAUGUAAAGCUCUAUCAGCAGGGAAGAAGAUGACGGUACCUGACUAAGAAGCCCCGGCUAACUACGUGCCAGCAGCCGCGGUAAUACGUAGGGGGCAAGCGUUAUCCGGAUUUACUGGGUGUAAAGGGAGCGUAGACGGCGAUGCAAGCCAGAUGUGAAAGUCCGGGGCUCAACCCCGGGACUGCAUUUGGAACUGUGUGGCUGGAGUGUCGGAGAGGCAGGCGGAAUUCCUAGUGUAGCGGUGAAAUGCGUAGAUAUUAGGAGGAACACCAGUGGCGAAGGCGGCCUGCUGGACGAUGACUGACGUUGAGGCUCGAAAGCGUGGGGAGCAAACAGGAUUAGAUACCCUAGUAAC